AUUAUAGUUAAUGUAUGGGAGGGCUUGUGUAAUGCGAGAAGAGUCACCCUGGAAAUUGGUAGGCUUUCCUCAAGAGGUGCAUUUUCAGUAACUUGAAGAGAACUGGAAUCUAUGGGAAAGACUAAUAGACCAAGGCAGGGCAUGCUAUAGGAAUUGUUCAGCACUCAAGAAAAAGUGUAGAUGAGAAUUAGCAGUAUGGGAAUGAGCAGAGAACAGAAGAAGGGGUUCAUUUGUUA
This is a non-coding RNA of Pelobates cultripes (western spadefoot toad), 236 nucleotides long. NCBI's taxonomy places the organism in Eukaryota, Metazoa, Chordata, Amphibia, Anura, Pelobatidae. The record is from the annotation of a GenBank genome assembly.